RNAcentral lists this ribosomal RNA (253 nucleotides) under uncultured bacterium. RNAcentral describes it as "partial 16S ribosomal RNA". It matches the Rfam family "Bacterial small subunit ribosomal RNA", at positions 524 to 776 of the family's 1533-position model. The record is from RNAcentral.
UACGUAGGGUGCGAGCGUUAAUCGGAAUUACUGGGCGUAAAGCGUGCGCAGGCGGUUUUGUAAGCCAGAUGUGAAAGCCCCGGGCUUAACCUGGGAAUGGCAUUUGGGACUGCAAGGCUUGAGUGCGGCAGAGGAGACUGGAAUUCCUGGUGUAGCAGUGAAAUGCGUAGAUAUCAGGGGGAAUACCGAUGGCGAAGGCAGGUCUCUGGGCUGACACUGACGCUCAUGCACGAAAGCGUGGGGAGCAAACAGG